CGAUCAUCGGCAUCAUCUGCCGCAACGCCAUGGUGACGUCACCAUGGACGAUCUGCCGAUGAUAGAUAUCGAACUGCAAUUUCAGGUUGGGCAUUUUCAAGUCGUUGAUCACNAUCACGCUCGCAACGAAGUCGAAAUCGUUCAGGAAAUAUCCCGGCACGUCACGCGGAUUGAUCGGCUCCAGCAUGAGAUCGAUGUUUUCCUUAGCGAGCGCCUCGGCAGUCCAGGCCACGGAGCGGCGAAACGCAUCGACUGCUUUCGGAUCGCGGCGAUCGGCAAUUCCCGCCA
RNAcentral lists this unclassified non-coding RNA (288 nucleotides) under Hevea brasiliensis (rubber tree). Lineage: Eukaryota; Viridiplantae; Streptophyta; Magnoliopsida; Malpighiales; Euphorbiaceae. The record is from RNAcentral.